RNAcentral lists this unclassified non-coding RNA (19 nucleotides) under Chlamydomonas reinhardtii. RNAcentral's name for it is "small RNA Cre_2107". The record is from RNAcentral. Lineage: Eukaryota; Viridiplantae; Chlorophyta; Chlorophyceae; Chlamydomonadales; Chlamydomonadaceae.
UAAAAGGUUGCGCGGCCAU